Cebus imitator (Panamanian white-faced capuchin) is the source of this 1328-nucleotide RNA transcript. It is a transcript of the gene named NADH dehydrogenase [ubiquinone] 1 alpha subcomplex assembly factor 4-like, with no coding region annotated. NCBI's taxonomy places the organism in Eukaryota, Metazoa, Chordata, Mammalia, Primates, Cebidae. The record is from RefSeq and is a predicted model, not a curated record. The transcript has a single exon.
AAAGCAGCUAUUGCACAUUGCAUUCUUCUCAUACUUCCAGUCUCUUUGAUUUUCCCUCCUGCCAUUAGCUAAAGAAAGCUCUCUGCUUUUAAGGCUCAUAUGAUUCCAUCAGGCCUACCGAGAUAAUCUAGGCUUGAAUCUCCCUAUUAUAAGGUCAACUGUGCCAUAUCGCAUAACAUAAUCACAGAAUCGGUCAUACAGCAUCACAUUCAUGAUGGUUGCAGGAAUUACGUUGGACAUCUUUGUGGGAGAGAGGUAUUUAAGAAAUUACGCCUACUACAUUUACUGAGAACUUAAGGUAAACAUAAGAACAAACGUCAAAUACUGUUGUCAACUUGUUCAAAUGUAAAACAAAGAUGUUCUAAAUUCCACAUACUUGGAUGAGUACCGUAUGCAAAUGGUACAAAAUAGAAAAGGCAUAAAAGAUAUACAGGAAAAAGCAAGACUUCUUUCUAAUAAUGUCCCUCAGCCCCAGUUCCAUUCCCUGGGAAUAAUAACUGUUUACUAAUUUCUCAUGUGUCCUUCCAGAGAUAUCCACAUUUAUUAAAGCGUAUGUGUUUGGGAGGACUGGACUGAUUUAUUCCUGAAAGGUUUGGCAGAAUUCCCCUGUUAAAUCACCAAGGCCUCAGUAGAAGAAAGUUAUUCUCAGGUGCCCUGGAGGUUUCUUGCGCCUGUGUUCCCACGUGUGGUGUGAACAUGAGGGCAUCAUGUUAUGAGCAGAUGGGGGCUGCAAUGACUCGCAGGAUCAGGAAUUUCAACCUAGAGAACCGAGUGAAACGGGGAAUCAGCAAGAUGAAGCCCUCUCCUGCUCCCAGGCACCCCUCUACCAACAGCCUCCUGUGAGAGCAGAUUAGUCUAUAUCCAGAAAUUAAGGGAGAGAUUGCUCAUAAAGAUGACAAGCCGCUAUCGUUUCUAAAAGAUGUGUAUAUGGAUUCCAAAGACCCUGUAUCUUCUGUGCAGGUAAAAGCUACUGAAACACAUCAAGAGACGAAGGAAUUCAGAUUGCCUUUCAGCCAUGAUUUUGAUAUGAUAAAUAUUAAGAGCAUUCCCAAAGGCAAAAUUUCCACUGUAGAAGCACUGACACUUCUCAAUAAUCAUAAACUUUACCCAGAAAUAUGGACUGCUGAGAAAAUAGCCCAAGAAUACCAUUUAGAACAGAAAGAUGUGAAUUUCCUUCUUAAAUAUUUUGUUACUUUUGAAGACCAAAUCUUCCCUCCUGAAGACAAGAAAGCAACACAAUCAAAAUGAAGAAAAUCACAAAAAUGUCCUAUGUGUACUCCUCAUCCUGCAUAUUUUCUCAUUUUUUGCAUAUUAAAUUAUAUUAAUUA